Molecule: long non-coding RNA, 482 nt
Organism: Bombus terrestris (buff-tailed bumblebee)
Lineage: Eukaryota; Metazoa; Arthropoda; Insecta; Hymenoptera; Apidae
Exons: 3
Source: RefSeq, a predicted model, not a curated record
UUAAGCUUCUUCUUCGAACUCAUUUUAUUCGAGCUGCAUAAAUGCAAAUGUUAGAGACGCGUUAAAUUACGCGUUCGAUCGGCGAAAAACGAUCAGCUUUUGCAUGGAUAUGCAAGUGGUGGAAGGGCGAAGAAGCAUACGGCUUGUACCGUCUUACGUUAUUCGAGACCAUCAGUCUGAGUUGGAAACAGUUGGAAGAAAGGCGACAAUAUCGAAUGAUUCUCACAAUUGGAUUCCAACUUCGAGUUACACAGAAUGUUUUCACAGCGGAAGGCAACGAACAAAACUGUAGUCUUGUAGAGGUUUUCGAGUCACAGAGGAUCGACUGUAUUAGAAGAAUGCAGCGACAACAAUACCGUGAUAUUUCAUCGUAGCAAUUCGAACAAUAGUCAAGAAUUACGAGGUGGAUCUUUCGCGCCGAUUGAAGACUGCAGCGACAAGACGCCCAUGAAAUAGGCUUAGAAAUCUGUUAUAAUUUUAUU